Molecule: ribosomal RNA, 449 nt
Filed under: uncultured bacterium
Lineage: Bacteria
Description: partial 16S ribosomal RNA
Rfam family: Bacterial small subunit ribosomal RNA
Source: RNAcentral
AACGAACGCUGGCGGCAUGCCUAACACAUGCAAGUCGAACGAAGCCUUCGGGCUUAGUGGCGCACGGGUGCGUAACGCGUGGGAAUCUGCCCUUUGGUUCGGAAUAACAGUGGGAAACGACUGCUAAUACCGGAUGAUGACGAAAGUCCAAAGAUUUAUCGCCAGAGGAUGAGCCCGCGUAGGAUUAGCUAGGUGGUGUGGUAAAGGAGCACCAAGGCGACGAUCCUUAGCUGGUCUGAGAGGAUGAUCAGCCACACUGGGACUGAGACACGGCCCAGACUCCUACGGGAGGCAGCAGUGGGGAAUAUUGGACAAUGGGCGAAAGCCUGAUCCAGCAAUGCCGCGUGAGUGAUGAAGGCCCUAGGGUUGUAAAGCUCUUUUACCCGGGAUGAUAAUGACAGUACCGGGAGAAUAAGCCCCGGCUAACUCCGUGCCAGCAGCCGCCGUAA